Non-coding RNA from Hordeum vulgare subsp. vulgare (domesticated barley), 139 nucleotides. The record is from Rfam. NCBI's taxonomy places the organism in Eukaryota, Viridiplantae, Streptophyta, Magnoliopsida, Poales, Poaceae.
CCGCUCGGAGAUGCUGAGAUCAUCUCUCACGUCAUCGCCGGCCUUGACAUCGACUACAAUCCCGUGAUCUCCGCCUUGGCCGCACGGGUCGAACCGGUCACGGUCCAGGAGCUCUACAACCAACUUCUAAGCUUCGACG